RNAcentral lists this unclassified non-coding RNA (217 nucleotides) under soil metagenome. RNAcentral's name for it is "partial contains 5.8S ribosomal RNA, internal transcribed spacer 2, and large subunit ribosomal RNA". The record is from RNAcentral.
AAGACUAUAGACCUGCGGAGUACCUGCGGAGGGAUCAUUAUCGAGUUUACAACUCCCAAACCAUUGUGAAUCUUACCUUUUCGUUGCUUCGGCGGGAUCGCCCCGGGCGCUUCGGUGCCCCGGAUUCAGGCGCCCGCCGGGGGACCUAAACUCUUGUAUUAUAGUGGAUUUCUGAGUGGAUUACACAAAUAAUCAAAACUUUCAACAAUGGAUCUCU